GGUAAGUCUGUGGGAGCGGGCGCGGUAAAACAGGGGGUGGGAGGUGGGUGCGGAAUCAGUGGGCGUGAAGGGCGCGUAGGGGGCAGGCCAAGUCGGUGGUGAAAGCUCGACGCUUAACGUCGAGGCGGCCCCCGAAACUGGUUUGCUGGAGCACUGUAGGGGCAGAUGGAAUUCCGGGUGUAGCGGUGGAAUGCGUAGAGAUCCGGAAGAACACCGGUGGCGAAGGCGGUCUGCUGGGCAGUAGCUGACACUGAGGCGCGACAGCGUGGGGAGCAAACAGGAUUAGAUACCCCGGUAGUC
This 300-nucleotide ribosomal RNA is filed under the name uncultured Lactobacillus sp. RNAcentral's name for it is "partial 16S ribosomal RNA". It matches the Rfam family "Bacterial small subunit ribosomal RNA", at positions 496 to 795 of the family's 1533-position model. The record is from RNAcentral. Lineage: Bacteria; Bacillati; Bacillota; Bacilli; Lactobacillales; Lactobacillaceae.